This 999-nucleotide long non-coding RNA is filed under the name Trifolium pratense (red clover). RNAcentral's name for it is "long non-coding RNA (TPRA_LNC006206)". Lineage: Eukaryota; Viridiplantae; Streptophyta; Magnoliopsida; Fabales; Fabaceae. The record is from RNAcentral.
AAGUUCAUGAUUAUCAUUUCAUUCUUGAUCGAAUGGAAAUCAAUAUAUGGUUAUCUUACAUUUCAACCUCCUUUUUUGUUAUCCCAAAAUAAAUCUUCGGCAACUGUGAUUUCUUUGAUUAGAUACGAGAAAAUGGGUAAGCGUAAUGGAAAUCAGUAUUCUCUUUCAUAUUUAUCAUUAUAUUUUUUUAAUCAAUAAUUGCUUUUAUUUUUAGGAUUAUUAUCCAUUUUAUUUGUCCUUGUAGUGUUUAUCUUGAUGACAUGGUUUACAUAUCACUAGUAAUGUUUUAUAUUUUUAUCUACAUGAUAUAUAAUUUUUGUAAUGUAUUUCAUCUAUUUUGUUAAUUAUAUUAUAAAGGAUUAAUUCAUCGAGAGCGAUUCUCUAUUUUAUUUAUAUAUGUACAAAUAAAAAAUGUUAAGAAAAAAAAUGUCAAGAAAACUUCUGAAAAAAAUUAUCAAUGUAUUUUCCUCUUUUCCCUUUUUAUGUUGUACUUUUUUUUUUUUUUNNAUGUGCUUGUUUUGAUGGAAGGUGAGAGUUGUGUGCUCAAGUUGAAGAACCCUUUUCACUGUGGGUUGUUGGUAUGUCCUUUCUCUCUUUUGCGCUCUAUCUGAAUUCUUUUAUUAGCUUUAUUGUCUUAUUUUUCAAUCAAAUUAAAUAUACUUUAUAUUGGCUUUUGGUUUGGAGGCCUUAUUUCUCAUCAACUUCAUCAUCAUCCUCGUUUGGUGGCAACUCAUUCAAUUCUAGUCAAAAGCACUCUUUCUUCUAUCCUCUUCAUUUUUGGUUGGGGCACGUGCUUUUNNNNNNNNNNNNNNNNNNNNNNNNCACUCCUACCGCCGCCACCAGCUAAGGACUCCGCUGGCACUCAAAUAAAACUAUUGAGAUCAAUGACAACAUAGACAGGAGAUUCAUUGUAAUUUUAGUUACUAUUAUUUUCGUACUCGUUCUCUGUUAUGUUAGAAUAAAUAUUCAAUGAUUGUGAUUUCUUUGAUUAAAUGUGAU